Molecule: unclassified non-coding RNA, 146 nt
Filed under: uncultured Mycosphaerella
Lineage: Eukaryota; Fungi; Ascomycota; Dothideomycetes; Mycosphaerellales; Mycosphaerellaceae
Source: RNAcentral
CCGAGUGAGGAUUAUAGUACAUCCGACCUCCAACCCUUUGUGAACACAUCUUGUUGCUUCGGGGGCGACCCUGCCGUUCGCGGCAUUCCCCCGGGAGGUCAUCAAAACACUGCAUUCUUACGUCGGAGUAAAAAGUUAAUUUAAUA